CAGUCGCCACGGGAAUACAGAGGGUGCGAGCGUUAAUCGGAUUUACUGGGCGUAAAGCGUGCGUAGGCGGCUUCUUAAGUCGGAUGUGAAAUCCCUGAGCUUAACUUAGGAAUUGCAUUCGAUACUGGGAAGCUAGAGUAUGGGAGAGGAUGGUAGAAUUCCAGGUGUAGCGGUGAAAUGCGUAGAGAUCUGGAGGAAUACCGAUGGCGAAGGCAGCCAUCUGGCCUAAUACUGACGCUGAGGUACGAAAGCAUGGGGAGCAAACAGGAUCAGAGACCCCCGUAGUCCCUGUCUCUUAUAC
Molecule: ribosomal RNA, 301 nt
Filed under: uncultured bacterium
Lineage: Bacteria
Description: partial 16S ribosomal RNA
Rfam family: Bacterial small subunit ribosomal RNA
Source: RNAcentral